RNAcentral lists this ribosomal RNA (254 nucleotides) under uncultured bacterium. RNAcentral describes it as "partial 16S ribosomal RNA". It matches the Rfam family "Bacterial small subunit ribosomal RNA", at positions 524 to 776 of the family's 1533-position model. The record is from RNAcentral.
CACGUAGGGUGCGAGCGUUGUCCGGAAUUAUUGGGCGUAAAGAGCUCGUAGGCGGUGUGUCGCGUCGGCCGUGAAAACCUGCAGCUUAACUGUGGGCUUGCGGUCGAUACGGGCAUCACUGGAGUUCGGCAGGGGAGACUGGAAUUCUCGGUGUAGCGGUGAAAUGCGUAGAUAUCGAGAGGAACACCUGCGGCGAAGGCGGGUUGCUGGGCUGACACUGACGCUGAGGCGCGAAAGCGUGGGGAGCAAACAGG